RNAcentral lists this ribosomal RNA (75 nucleotides) under Salmonella enterica subsp. enterica serovar Worthington str. BCH-7253. The record is from RNAcentral. Lineage: Bacteria; Pseudomonadati; Pseudomonadota; Gammaproteobacteria; Enterobacterales; Enterobacteriaceae.
CACUAGCGCGGUGGUCCCACCUGACCCCAUGCCGAACUCAGAAGUGAAACGCUGAAGCGCCGAUGGUAGUGUGGG